This 208-nucleotide unclassified non-coding RNA is filed under the name Hevea brasiliensis (rubber tree). Lineage: Eukaryota; Viridiplantae; Streptophyta; Magnoliopsida; Malpighiales; Euphorbiaceae. The record is from RNAcentral.
UCCACCUCCGCCUUUUCGAGUCUCCACAGAUUCUUUUUGAAUGCACCAAUUCUGUGAUGAGUUCAGAAUUGGAGGAAUCUCCAAUUUUCCAUCAACAAAUUUUUAACUAAUGGCAAUACAAAAACAUCAACGGAUAGGAGUUGGCGGAGGUGGAUAUUAGUAGGUUUUUAAUUGUAUUAUUGCAUUAACUCGGCUACCACAAGUGCCU